Non-coding RNA from Megalopta genalis, 1381 nucleotides. Lineage: Eukaryota; Metazoa; Arthropoda; Insecta; Hymenoptera; Halictidae. The record is from RefSeq and is a predicted model, not a curated record.
ACGAGGGAACACCGUGGAACAAACCACGUAAAAAAAAAAACAGCGAACGCGUGAACCUAACGCGAGAACAGAACGCCGACGGUUUUACAAUUUUCGCGUUGCAUCGAUUAAAUCGACAAGCUCGCUUGGCCGAUAAUUAAUUAAUUUUUGAAGGGAGACAAUUUCGAGGUGAAGACACAGAACGUGUAAAUACAGGUGGCGCGAGACCAGAUUUUUCGAGCAGAAAAAUUCCCGUUGCAAUCUCCGAAGGAAUCGCGCGGUAUAAAUUAGACGGUAACGGCGCGAUGAACGCGUUAGAACGAUGCGAGAGAACAGUUGACGCGAGGCCACGUUUCGACGGCGCGUGCCGAGGGCAGCUUGACAGAGCGAGGGAAACGAGCGAACGCGGAACGCGAUCCUCGACGCGGCCGAGUUGGAAGAAAAUUCACGGAAGAAACGCCGCGGCGUGAAGUAAAGUGACAGGCGAGCGCGGGCCGCCACGUUUUCGACGGUGGCGCGUGUCGAGGGCAGCGAGUGUCACGAGCCGAGGGAAGCCAGCGAAUUCUCGGUGCGAAACGAUUCCCGUGGAACGUCGUCGAACGGUUCCGAUUGAUCGUGGUAAAAACCUGUGCAGAGACGAGAACGAAAAACCGAAAAAAAAAAACUUACGUGUUGUAGGAGAUACCGUCACCGUCGAGGCCGGGUACCGCGAUCAGGAUCAGGAUGACGACGGUGGCAGGCAGAGGCAGAGAACGGGGCCUCAUCGCUGCUGCCGUGUUCGUCGGCGCCGGCUCUCCGCUGUUUACGCGAGGACACGGUAAACAAAACUGAGGCCGAGAGGCGGCUCGCGUCUGACAUUAAGGAUGCUCUCGGCCGGCCGUGUUCGUCGCCGUCUUUGUCGUCGUCGACGUCGACGUCGCCAUGCAGUGCGCGCACCGUCCGACACCACCACGGCGGCCAACGCUUUUGCAGAUCAGCGCUUAUCGAUCGGCGCGUAACGGCGGAGCGGUAUCGAGCCGUGCCGGACUUGCGCAACAACCGCCGCCGUCGCUCCGCGGAUCUCGCCGCCAAUCAACGCCGACCGCCGCCAAUCAGCGCCGACCGCCGCCGACCGCCGCCAAUCAACGCCGACCGCCGCCAAUCGCCGCCGAACGCCAUCGCGCCGACGCGACGCGAACGCGCCUUCGGAUCGAAGCACAGUGUUCCUAACCGAUCAGCGAUCCAUCGCGGAGGUUCCAAUUCGCAACGAGUCGCUUAUCCGGAACUUUAAGAUCGAAAAUAUCAAGUACAUUAAGAUGAUUUUUGUGACAAGCAGAGUGCGGAUCUUUAUGCAUUUAUUGAAAGUAUUGAUCAGAGAAAUAGAGGAUAAUUAUAAUGUUAGAAUAAUUAUGUAUAUAACGAA